RNAcentral lists this ribosomal RNA (164 nucleotides) under Eurybia schreberi. Its description in RNAcentral is "5.8S ribosomal RNA". It matches the Rfam family "5.8S ribosomal RNA". From Rfam's summary of the family: 5.8S ribosomal RNA (5.8S rRNA) is a component of the large subunit of the eukaryotic ribosome. Lineage: Eukaryota; Viridiplantae; Streptophyta; Magnoliopsida; Asterales; Asteraceae. The record is from RNAcentral.
CAAACGACUCUCGGCAACGGAUAUCUCGGCUCACGCAUCGGUGAAGAACGUAGCAAAAUGCGAUACUUGGUGUGGAUUGCAGAAUCCCGUGAACCAUCGAGUUUUUGAACGCAAGUUGCGCCCGAAGCCAUUCGGCUGAGGGCACGUCUGCCUGGGCGUCACGC